UGGGGAAUAUUGCACAAUGGGCGCAAGCCUGAUGCAGCCAUGCCUCGUGUAUGAAGAAGGCCUUCGGGUUGUAAAGUACUUUCAGCGGGGAGGAAGGGAGUAAAGUUAAUACCUUUGCUCAUUGACGUUACCCGCAGAAGAAGCACCGGCUAACUCCGUGCCAGCAGCCGCGGUAAUACGGAGGGUGCAAGCGUUAAUCGGAAUUACUGGGCGUAAAGCGCACGCAGGCGGUCUGUCAAGUCGGAUGUGAAAUCCCCGGGCUCAACCUGGGAACUGCAUUCGAAACUGGCAGGCUAGAGUCUUGUAGAGGGGGGUAGAAUUCCAGGUGUAGCGGUGAAAUGCGUAGAGAUCUGGAGGAAUACCGGUGGCGAAGGCGGCCCCCUGGACAAAGACUGACGCUCAGGUGCGAAAGCGUGGGGAGCAAACAGG
This 429-nucleotide ribosomal RNA is filed under the name Chloroflexota bacterium. Its description in RNAcentral is "Chloroflexi bacterium partial 16S ribosomal RNA". It matches the Rfam family "Bacterial small subunit ribosomal RNA", at positions 355 to 776 of the family's 1533-position model. The record is from RNAcentral. Lineage: Bacteria; Bacillati; Chloroflexota.